RNAcentral lists this long non-coding RNA (307 nucleotides) under Panicum hallii. RNAcentral describes it as "long non-coding RNA (PHAL_LNC000172)". Lineage: Eukaryota; Viridiplantae; Streptophyta; Magnoliopsida; Poales; Poaceae. The record is from RNAcentral.
GAGCUGCGAGCGCUCUGCUCCCAUGGCCAGCUCGCGCAGCCGCUCUAGCUCCUCGAGUCCUCCGCGGAGCCGCCCGACUGGUUAGAACAAAAAUACCAUUUAGAUAAGAUUGAAAUCAUGAAAACACGAACAUAAUCAAUACAAAUGCAUUGCAAAUCAAUAAUUUUGUUAACUACAACUAAUAUAAUUUCAUUUAAUACCUGGCCUACCGGCAGUAAGGCUAUGGCCCUAUUACUUGCUUUCUUUUUCACCUUAGCUUUUUUCUUACGCCACUUGCAGUGAUUGCAAAACUUACGGUACUUUGAGC